AUACGGAGGGUGCAAGCGUUACGCGGAAUCACUGGGCGUAAAGCGUCCGUAGGCGGUCGGGUAAGUCGGGUGUGAAAGCCCCGGGCUCAACCUGGGAAGUGCACCCGAUACUGCUCGACUCGAGUGCGGGAGAGGAUGGCGGAAUUCCCGGUGUAGCGGUGAAAUGCGUAGAGAUCGGGAGGAACACCAGUGGCGAAGGCGGCCAUCUGGCCCGCAACUGACGCUGAGGGACGAAAGCGUGGGGAGCAAACAGGAUUAGAAACCCUAGUAGUCC
Molecule: ribosomal RNA, 274 nt
Filed under: uncultured bacterium
Lineage: Bacteria
Description: partial 16S ribosomal RNA
Rfam family: Bacterial small subunit ribosomal RNA
Source: RNAcentral